GACGAACGCUGGCGGCGUGCUUAACACAUGCAAGUCGAACGCUGAAGCCUGCUUUCGGGUGGGUGGAUGAGCGGCGUACGGGUGAGUAACACGUGGGUAACCUGUCCUGCACUCGGGAAUAACCUUGGGAAACUGGGGCUAAUACCGGAUGGUCACACGGCUCUCGCAUGGGGGUGUGUGGAAAGCGUUUACGGUGGUGCAGGGUGUGCCCGCGGCCUAUCAGCUGGUUGGUGGGGUAAGGGCCUACCAAGGCGACGACGGGUAGCCGGCCUGAGAGGGUGAUCGGCCACACUGGGACUGAGACACGGCCCAGACUCCUACGGGAGGCAGCAGUGGGGAAUUUUGCGCAAUGGGCGGAAGCCUGACGCAGCAACGCCGCGUGGGGGAGGACGGCCUUCGGGUUGUAAACCUCUUUCGGUUCUGACGAAGCUCUGCGUGUUCGUGGGGUGACGGUAGGGGCAGAAGAAGCACCGGCUAACUACGUGCCAGCAGCCGCCGUAA
RNAcentral lists this ribosomal RNA (501 nucleotides) under uncultured bacterium. RNAcentral's name for it is "partial 16S ribosomal RNA". It matches the Rfam family "Bacterial small subunit ribosomal RNA", at positions 28 to 523 of the family's 1533-position model. The record is from RNAcentral.